This 465-nucleotide ribosomal RNA is filed under the name uncultured bacterium. RNAcentral's name for it is "bacterial SSU rRNA". It matches the Rfam family "Bacterial small subunit ribosomal RNA", at positions 331 to 792 of the family's 1533-position model. The record is from RNAcentral.
CCAGACUCCUACGGGAGGCAGCAGUGAGGAAUAUUGGUCAAUGGGCUUACGCCUGAACCAGCCAAGUCGCGUGAGGGAAGACUGCCCUAUGGGUUGUAAACCUCUUUUGUCAGGGAGCAAUUGGCGCUACGUGUAGCGUUAUCGAGAGUACCUGAAGAAAAAGCAUCGGCUAACUACGUGCCAGCAGCCGCGGUAAUACGUAGGUGGCAAGCGUUGUCCGGAAUUACUGGGUGUAAAGGGAGCGCAGGCGGGAAGCCAAGUCAGCUGUGAAAACUACGGGCUUAACUUGUAGACUGCAGUUGAAACUGGUUUUCUUGAGUGCUGGAGAGGCAAUCGGAAUUCCGUGUGUAGCAGUGAAAUGCGUAGAUAUACGGAGGAACACCAGUGGCGAAGGCGGAUUGCUGGACAGUAACUGACGCUGAGGCGCGAAAGCGUGGGGAGCAAACAGGAUUAGAUACCCGAGUA